This 309-nucleotide ribosomal RNA is filed under the name uncultured bacterium. RNAcentral's name for it is "partial 16S ribosomal RNA". It matches the Rfam family "Bacterial small subunit ribosomal RNA", at positions 504 to 808 of the family's 1533-position model. The record is from RNAcentral.
AGAGACAGCAGUAGCCGCGGUAAUACGUAGGUCCCGAGCGUUGUCCGGAUUUAUUGGGCGUAAAGCGAGCGCAGGCGGUUAGAAAAGUCUGAAGUGAAAGGCAGUGGCUCAACCAUUGUAGGCUUUGGAAACUGUUUAACUUGAGUGCAGAAGGGGAGAGUGGAAUUCCAUGUGUAGCGGUGAAAUGCGUAGAUAUAUGGAGGAACACCGGUGGCGAAAGCGGCUCUCUGGUCUGUAACUGACGCUGAGGCUCGAAAGCGUGGGGAGCAAACAGGAUUAGAUACCCCUGUAGUCCCUGUCUCUUAUACA